Molecule: long non-coding RNA, 260 nt
Filed under: Rattus norvegicus (Norway rat)
Lineage: Eukaryota; Metazoa; Chordata; Mammalia; Rodentia; Muridae
Description: long non-coding RNA NONRATT014050
Source: RNAcentral
AGAAGGCAAGCAGGCCAGGACCAAGGUACCCAAGAUUCAAUGUCUUGUUACCUCCAGUUUCCCACGACACAAAUGCCAACAUAUUGCUCUGAAGAAACGAGGCAGAAAUAAAAUCAAUAAGUCUGCAGAACAGGAUGAACUUCAGGCCAAGAGAGUGAAGGAGCCAAAGAAAAAUGCCAGGAACACAUCACCAGGGGACAGAGACUGCCUUCAUGAGAGCUUCUGAAUCCAGUCGAAAAUAACUCUUAAAGGGUAAAAAA